UGGGAAGGAGUGUUCAUGGUCUCAGGCUCCACUUACAGAGGCUUCUCUGGGUUCUCUGAGCAAGGGUCUUCCUCCC
This 76-nucleotide microRNA precursor is filed under the name Tursiops truncatus (common bottlenose dolphin). Its description in RNAcentral is "miRNA (ENSTTRG00000025217.1)". The record is from RNAcentral. Lineage: Eukaryota; Metazoa; Chordata; Mammalia; Artiodactyla; Delphinidae.